Molecule: ribosomal RNA, 2201 nt
Filed under: Staphylococcus aureus
Lineage: Bacteria; Bacillati; Bacillota; Bacilli; Caryophanales; Staphylococcaceae
Description: partial 23S ribosomal RNA
Rfam family: Bacterial large subunit ribosomal RNA
Source: RNAcentral
AGUCAGAGCCCGUUAAUGGGUGAUGGCGUGCCUUUUGUAGAAUGAACCGGCGAGUUACGAUUUGAUGCAAGGUUAAGCAGUAAAUGUGGAGCCGUAGCGAAAGCGAGUCUGAAUAGGGCGUUUAGUAUUUGGUCGUAGACCCGAAACCAGGUGAUCUACCCUUGGUCAGGUUGAAGUUCAGGUAACACUGAAUGGAGGACCGAACCGACUUACGUUGAAAAGUGAGCGGAUGAACUGAGGGUAGCGGAGAAAUUCCAAUCGAACCUGGAGAUAGCUGGUUCUCUCCGAAAUAGCUUUAGGGCUAGCCUCAAGUGAUGAUUAUUGGAGGUAGAGCACUGUUUGGACGAGGGGCCCCUCUCGGGUUACCGAAUUCAGACAAACUCCGAAUGCCAAUUAAUUUAACUUGGGAGUCAGAACAUGGGUGAUAAGGUCCGUGUUCGAAAGGGAAACAGCCCAGACCACCAGCUAAGGUCCCAAAAUAUAUGUUAAGUGGAAAAGGAUGUGGCGUUGCCCAGACAACUAGGAUGUUGGCUUAGAAGCAGCCAUCAUUUAAAGAGUGCGUAAUAGCUCACUAGUCGAGUGACACUGCGCCGAAAAUGUACCGGGGCUAAACAUAUUACCGAAGCUGUGGAUUGUCCUUUGGACAAUGGUAGGAGAGCGUUCUAAGGGCGUUGAAGCAUGAUCGUAAGGACAUGUGGAGCGCUUAGAAGUGAGAAUGCCGGUGUGAGUAGCGAAAGACGGGUGAGAAUCCCGUCCACCGAUUGACUAAGGUUUCCAGAGGAAGGCUCGUCCGCUCUGGGUUAGUCGGGUCCUAAGCUGAGGCCGACAGGCGUAGGCGAUGGAUAACAGGUUGAUAUUCCUGUACCACCUAUAAUCGUUUUAAUCGAUGGGGGGACGCAGUAGGAUAGGCGAAGCGUGCGAUUGGAUUGCACGUCUAAGCAGUAAGGCUGAGUAUUAGGCAAAUCCGGUACUCGUUAAGGCUGAGCUGUGAUGGGGAGAAGACAUUGUGUCUUCGAGUCGUUGAUUUCACACUGCCGAGAAAAGCCUCUAGAUAGAAAAUAGGUGCCCGUACCGCAAACCGACACAGGUAGUCAAGAUGAGAAUUCUAAGGUGAGCGAGCGAACUCUCGUUAAGGAACUCGGCAAAAUGACCCCGUAACUUCGGGAGAAGGGGUGCUCUUUAGGGUUAACGCCCAGAAGAGCCGCAGUGAAUAGGCCCAAGCGACUGUUUAUCAAAAACACAGGUCUCUGCUAAACCGUAAGGUGAUGUAUAGGGGCUGACGCCUGCCCGGUGCUGGAAGGUUAAGAGGAGUGGUUAGCUUCUGCGAAGCUACGAAUCGAAGCCCCAGUAAACGGCGGCCGUAACUAUAACGGUCCUAAGGUAGCGAAAUUCCUUGUCGGGUAAGUUCCGACCCGCACGAAAGGCGUAACGAUUUGGGCACUGUCUCAACGAGAGACUCGGUGAAAUCAUAGUACCUGUGAAGAUGCAGGUUACCCGCGACAGGACGGAAAGACCCCGUGGAGCUUUACUGUAGCCUGAUAUUGAAAUUCGGCACAGCUUGUACAGGAUAGGUAGGAGCCUUUGAAACGUGAGCGCUAGCUUACGUGGAGGCGCUGGUGGGAUACUACCCUAGCUGUGUUGGCUUUCUAACCCGCACCACUUAUCGUGGUGGGAGACAGUGUCAGGCGGGCAGUUUGACUGGGGCGGUCGCCUCCUAAAAGGUAACGGAGGCGCUCAAAGGUUCCCUCAGAAUGGUUGGAAAUCAUUCAUAGAGUGUAAAGGCAUAAGGGAGCUUGACUGCGAGACCUACAAGUCGAGCAGGGUCGAAAGACGGACUUAGUGAUCCGGUGGUUCCGCAUGGAAGGGCCAUCGCUCAACGGAUAAAAGCUACCCCGGGGAUAACAGGCUUAUCUCCCCCAAGAGUUCACAUCGACGGGGAGGUUUGGCACCUCGAUGUCGGCUCAUCGCAUCCUGGGGCUGUAGUCGGUCCCAAGGGUUGGGCUGUUCGCCCAUUAAAGCGGUACGCGAGCUGGGUUCAGAACGUCGUGAGACAGUUCGGUCCCUAUCCGUCGUGGGCGUAGGAAAUUUGAGAGGAGCUGUCCUUAGUACGAGAGGACCGGGAUGGACAUACCUCUGGUGUACCAGUUGUCGUGCCAACGGCAUAGCUGGGUAGCUAUGUGUGGACGGGAUAAGUGCUGAAA